RNAcentral lists this long non-coding RNA (472 nucleotides) under Heterocephalus glaber (naked mole-rat). RNAcentral describes it as "lncRNA (ENSHGLG00000041591.1)". Lineage: Eukaryota; Metazoa; Chordata; Mammalia; Rodentia; Bathyergidae. The record is from RNAcentral.
CUGCGGAGGCGACUCCUGCACCCGCCGGGCCCACGCUGGGGUCACGGUGGAGGAACUCAGAAGCUCUUUGCUGCAGCCCAGUGGCCGCCGGCGGAACCUGACGGGGCUCGGAGGCCCGGGCGGGACAGGGCCAGGCCGUGAGCGUGCCCUUUAUCCCCCACAGCCGUGAGUUUGGGGGCAUCUGUCCCCCUUCGCAGGAUCUGGCACCGUGCACCCUCUGGCUCUUCCCCAAAGUCAGAAUGACCAUGAAAGGAGCCUCCAUUCUGAUUUCCAUAAUGGCUUCAGUAACCUACAUUCCCAGCAGGAGCCCACAAAGAUUCCUUUUCCUCCACACCUUCACCAAUACCUGGCAGCCCUUGCUCCCUUACUAACAGCCAUUUACCAGAGAAUGAACUAAGGCACCUCCCUAUUCAGAGGUUCUCCAGAAACAGUGAGGAGACUGCAGACCUCCGACAUCUACCUGCUGCUCAGG